Molecule: ribosomal RNA, 643 nt
Filed under: uncultured Actinomycetes bacterium
Lineage: Bacteria; Bacillati; Actinomycetota; Actinomycetes
Description: bacterial SSU rRNA
Rfam family: Bacterial small subunit ribosomal RNA
Source: RNAcentral
CGCGGCCUAUCAGCUUGUUGGUGGGGUAACGGCCCACCUAGGCGACGACGGGUAGCCGGCCUGAGAGGGCGACCGGCCACACUGGGACUGAGACACGGCCCAGACUCCUACGGGAGGCAGCAGUGGGGAAUAUUGCACAAUGGGCGAAAGCCUGAUGCAGCGACGCCGCGUGAGGGAUGACGGCCUUCGGGUUGUAAGCCUCUUUCAGCAGGGAAGAAGCGAAAGUGACGGUACCUGCAGAAGAAGCGCCGGCUAACUACGUGCCAGCAGCCGCGGUAAUACGUAGGGCGCAAGCGUUGUCCGGAAUUAUUGGGCGUAAAGAGCUCGUAGGCGGCUUGUCACGUCGGAUGUGAAAGCCCGAGGCUUAACCUCGGGUCUGCAUUCGAUACGGGCUAGCUAGAGUGUGGUAGGGGAGAUCGGAAUUCCUGGUGUAGCGGUGAAAUGCGCGGAUAUCAGGAGGAACACCGGUGGCGAAGGCGGAUCUCUGGGCCAUUACUGACGCUGAGGAGCGAAAGCGUGGGGAGCGAACAGGAUUAGAUACCCUGGUAGUCCACGCCGUAAACGUUGGGAACUAGGUGUUGGCGACAUUCCACGUCGUCGGUGCCGCAGCUAACGCAUUAAGUUCCCCGCCUGGGGAGUACGG